UCACGAACACUAUGGCGUUCGCCUAUGGGCAAGAGGUGAGGUAAAGCGCAGUCUGUUUAUUAACGUGUCUAUGGUUCUUCCACAAACAAUACAACUCGGCGUUAUAAUUUUAAUUUAUUUGAUUGAUAAUUAAUAAUUACGGAUGCUCCACUAGCGAUAUUUAAGUCAUUAAGUUUAUUAAGUUGAUAAUGUAUUUAUUGUUCACAGUUUUACACUAGUGUAUCACUUGUUUUAUCAAUCGAGCGUAGGUCUUUAUAACGCCAUUUAGUAGGGAUCUAGAUCGUUAAGUGACGCACAACUGGGGUCAAUGACCAGGCAUUUGUCUUCCCAACAGUUACAUUGCCGAGUUGCAAUACGGCACUUCUAGAUUACUCAAUGGUUGUUCCCCAGAAUUUAAAAUGGCUGUUACUUAGAGACUAUUCAUCGGAUAUAAAUGUGUGAUACGUUAAAAUGUUCC
Molecule: non-coding RNA, 457 nt
Organism: Cinara cedri
Lineage: Eukaryota; Metazoa; Arthropoda; Insecta; Hemiptera; Aphididae
Source: the annotation of a GenBank genome assembly